GGGUAUGUAGCUCAGUGGUUAAGAGCAUGGCUCGUCUUGCAGAGGACCUGGGUUCUAUUCCCAGCACCCA
RNAcentral lists this transfer RNA (70 nucleotides) under Mesocricetus auratus (golden hamster). It matches the Rfam family "tRNA". From Rfam's summary of the family: Transfer RNA (tRNA) molecules are approximately 80 nucleotides in length. Their secondary structure includes four short double-helical elements and three loops (D, anti-codon, and T loops). Further hydrogen bonds mediate the characteristic L-shaped molecular structure. tRNAs have two regions of fundamental functional importance: the anti-codon, which is responsible for specific mRNA codon recognition, and the 3' end, to which the tRNAs corresponding amino acid is attached (by aminoacyl-tRNA synthetases). tRNAs cope with the degeneracy of the genetic code in two manners: having more than one tRNA (with a specific anti-codon) for a particular amino acid; and 'wobble' base-pairing, i.e. permitting non-standard base-pairing at the 3rd anti-codon position. The record is from Rfam by way of RNAcentral. Lineage: Eukaryota; Metazoa; Chordata; Mammalia; Rodentia; Cricetidae.